Molecule: ribosomal RNA, 490 nt
Filed under: uncultured bacterium
Lineage: Bacteria
Description: partial 16S ribosomal RNA
Rfam family: Bacterial small subunit ribosomal RNA
Source: RNAcentral
AGUGAACGCUGGCGGUAGGCCUAACACAUGCAAGUCGGACGGCAGCACAGGAGAGCUUGCUCUCUAGGUGGCGAGUGGCGGACGGGUGAGGAAUACAUCGGAAUCUGCCCAGUCGUGGGGGAUAACGUAGGGAAACUUACGCUAAUACCGCAUACGACCUUCGGGUGAAAGAGGGGGAUCGCAAGACCUCUCGCGAUUGGAUGAGCCGAUGUCGGAUUAGCUAGUUAGCGGGGUAAUGGCCCACCAAGGCGACGAUCCGUAGCUGGUCUGAGAGGAUGAUCAGCCACACUGGAACUGAGACACGGUCCAGACUCCUACGGGAGGCAGCAGUGGGGAAUAUUGGACAAUGGGCGCAAGCCUGAUCCAGCCAUACCGCGUGGGUGAAGAAGGCCUUCGGGUUGUAAAGCCCUUUUGUUGGGAAAGAAAUCUUUCAGGCUAAUACCCUGGGAGGAUGACGGUACCCAAAGAAUAAGCACCGGCUAACUUCGUG